RNAcentral lists this unclassified non-coding RNA (279 nucleotides) under plant metagenome. RNAcentral describes it as "partial contains small subunit ribosomal RNA, internal transcribed spacer 1, and 5.8S ribosomal RNA". The record is from RNAcentral.
UUUCCGUAGGUGAACCUGCGGAAGGAUCAUUACCGGGCGAGGGCCCUCUGGGUCCAACCUCCCACCCGUGGCUCUUGUACCUCGUUGCUUCCGCGGGCCUGCCUCUCGGCCUCCGGGGGGCACCUCCCCCCCGGGCCCCCGCCGGCCCAAGACACCCACGAACCCUGUCUUAAGAAGGCAGUCUGAGUGAAAUGAUACAAUAUUUAAAACUUUCAACAACGGAUCUCUUGGUUACGGCAUCGCUGAAGAACGCAGCAGAUCGCAAGAGCACACGUCUGC